GCCGAAGUGGCGAAAUCGGUAGACGCAGCGGAUUCAAAAUCCGCCGCCGCAAGGCGUGCCGGUUCGAGUCCGGCCUUCGGCACCA
RNAcentral lists this transfer RNA (85 nucleotides) under Hydrogenophaga sp. SCN 70-13. RNAcentral's name for it is "tRNA-Leu". It matches the Rfam family "tRNA". Rfam says of the family: Transfer RNA (tRNA) molecules are approximately 80 nucleotides in length. The record is from RNAcentral. Lineage: Bacteria; Pseudomonadati; Pseudomonadota; Betaproteobacteria; Burkholderiales; Comamonadaceae. RNAcentral also lists the same sequence under 6 other names.